Long non-coding RNA from Homo sapiens (human), 1247 nucleotides. Ensembl annotates it as long intergenic non-protein coding RNA 2207. The record is from Ensembl. NCBI's taxonomy places the organism in Eukaryota, Metazoa, Chordata, Mammalia, Primates, Hominidae.
AGAGACAAGGAGUAAAAUGCCUGAGCUCAAGUGACAACAAGCAACCCCAGACUAGAGACAGGAUCCUUCUCCCCACUUCGAGCAGAUCCCAGCAUGAAUCCUGCAGUAUGGUGAUGGCAAAAGUCAGUGCAGGACCACUGGGACUCCUGGAGCUUCUCACAUCUCUGAGAGCACCAGCAGCAGUCCCCAGAUAGCAGAUGACUGGUAGGAAGAUGAGGCAAGUUUGCGGUCCAUUGUCAUGGAUAGUGGAGACAACACUGGGCCAGAAGUGGUAAGACCUGAAUCCAAGACUCAGCUCUGCCACUUGCUAAAUGGGACUUUGAAUAAACCAUUUCUCUGCACUUAAGUUCCUUACCAACAAAACGAGGGAAGUGGCCUACAUGCCUAGAUAUCAACAUUUCAUGUCACGUAGAGAUCUAGCAUCACAAGAAUCCAAGUCAUCCUCUGUUGCCUUUAAGACAAAAAGCAGAUCAGCAAGUUUUCAUAUUGCACUAUUUUCAAUGGCUGGAGCAUCAACAUUUUACAACAAGAAAAAAAUUAAAAUUCUUCAACAUUUGGAAAAGAAGUGUUUGUAAAACUUUUCACAUCCAUUCACCAUCCGGAAAAGCAAGGUUUUACAGUGAGGCCUGAUGAUGUCUAGAGUCACCAUGCAUCUUGGAAAAUGACCUCCUAUUUAUUUCUUCUACAGGACACCAUGGUGUUCACCUUUCUACAACUUUACACUUGCUGAGGACAUAUUGUGGAAAAUUAAGAGAAAUAUAUAUGGAUGGCCAAGGCUGUAGAUGGAUGUCCAAGCCUUUUUACUGGGGAAUGUUUUCAGAACAAAAUGAGUUACAGGUUCAAGAGUGAAACCCAACAAAUCUUGGCUCUUUUUUUCUCUACUAAAUUCCAAAUCAAAAGUAUUUAUGGAGUGCUUUUAAUGUGCCACGCACUGGGCUAGAGAUUCAUAAUUUUGAUGGGAAUCUGUGUAUUCAAACUCUUUUAACGUGGAAACCUUGCUUGUGCAAGGUCCUCCCAGAUCUUAUCCUACUUUAUCAAAGCUUGGCUAAAUGCAACAUGUCUUCUCCCCAGUGCCCUGGGUCUCUGUACACGCAGUAAAGUGGUCCUUAGACAUAUGCUGAAAUAGGGCUUAAUUUUCCCCAUAUACGAAUGAGAUAAAUUCUACUACAUGUAGCCAGACUUCGAUAGGGAGAACACCCAAAGUCACUUAAAAUAAAACUACACUUUCAUUUUUGCAAGCCAAAUAA